GCAUAGCAGCGCAGGUCUUUCGGGACAGAGGAGACAGGUGGUGCAUGGUUGUCGUCAGCUCGUGUCGUGAGAUGUUGGUUAAGUCCCGCAACGAGCGCAACCCUUGCCUUAGUUGCCAGCACGUUAUGGUGGGCACUCUAGAGGGACUGCCGGUGACAAACCGGAGGAAGGUGGGGAUGACGUCAAAUCAUCAUGCCCCUUAUGAUCUGGGCUACACACGUGCUACAAUGGCCGGUACAACGAGAAGCGAAACCGCGAGGUGAAGCAAAUCUUUUAAAGCCGGUCCCAGUUCGGAUUGCAGGCUGAAACUCGCCUGCAUGAAGUUGGAGUUGCUAGUAAUCGCGGAUCAGCAUGCCGUGGUGAAUGCGUUCCCGGGUCUU
RNAcentral lists this ribosomal RNA (380 nucleotides) under uncultured Acidaminobacter sp. RNAcentral's name for it is "bacterial SSU rRNA". It matches the Rfam family "Bacterial small subunit ribosomal RNA", at positions 1000 to 1382 of the family's 1533-position model. Lineage: Bacteria; Bacillati; Bacillota; Clostridia; Peptostreptococcales; Acidaminobacteraceae. The record is from RNAcentral.